UGCGGAAGGAUCAUUACUGAUUUGCUUAAUUGCACCACAUGUGUUUUUCUUUGAAACAAACUUGCUUUGGCGGUGGGCCCAGCCUGCCGCCAGAGGUCUAAACUUACAACCAAUUUUUUAUCAACUUGUCACACCAGAUUAUUACUAAUAGUCAAAACUUUCAACAACGGAUCUCUUGGUUCUCGCAUCGAUGAAGAACGCAGCGAAAUGCGAUACGUAAUAUGAAUUGCAGAUAUUCGUGAAUCAUCGAAUCUUUGAACGCACAUUGCGCCCUCUGGUAUUCCGGAGGGCAUGCCUGUUUGAGCGUCGUUUCUCCCUCAAACCGCUGGGUUUGGUGUUGAGCAAUACGACUUGGGUUUGCUUGAAAGACGGUAGUGGUAAGGCGGGAUCGCUUUGACAAUGGCUUAGGUCUAACCAAAAACAUUGCUUGCGGCGGUAACGUCUACCACGUAUAUCUUCAAACUUUGACCUCAAAUCA
RNAcentral lists this unclassified non-coding RNA (478 nucleotides) under Candida albicans. Its description in RNAcentral is "sequence contains 18S rRNA gene, ITS1, 5.8S rRNA gene, ITS2, 28S rRNA gene". The stretch from base 156 to 309 matches the Rfam family "5.8S ribosomal RNA". Lineage: Eukaryota; Fungi; Ascomycota; Pichiomycetes; Serinales; Debaryomycetaceae. The record is from RNAcentral.